Molecule: long non-coding RNA, 1183 nt
Filed under: Marmota monax (woodchuck)
Lineage: Eukaryota; Metazoa; Chordata; Mammalia; Rodentia; Sciuridae
Source: RNAcentral
GUUUGGAAAAUCUGUAUUGAACCGUAGGCUUGUAUGAAGUAUAAGAGGAAAUCUGAAGCUAAAUUUGUGAUUUUUAAAAAAUGCUUUAUUUUCAUAAGAAUUCAAAGCCUAAGGAUCUCCAUCAUUCUAUGAGAUAAGUGUGGUAAAAUCAUUUUAGUCAUCAGGUUAUUGUACAUGUCAAUUCAAAAGAGGCAAGAGAAACCCUUUAAGUGAAAACAGUUUAUAACGUGGGCUACCCACAUGUAAAUUCAUGAGCAAGACAAAGUGUGACUGAAUAGUAUAUUAUAACAGGUCACUUGUUUGUAACUUUGUAUUUUCCCAGUACUGUUCUUCAAAAUUAGGACAGCUACUUUAAGGUUCACCCUUGGCUGAUAACAGAGAGAAAAAAAUUGCAAUCUAUAGUAGAAGUCAGUUUGUUUUCAAUAAGUAAGUUUGAAGCAAUGGCUUGUGUUAAUCCUAAUAAGCCAGUGAUUAGGCAAACAUGCUGUUAAAUGCAAAGGAAUGCAAGGAAUUUCAAGUGCUUUUCCAAUAGCUGAAGACUAAGCUACCCAUCCCCCUUUCCUUUUUAUAAUAUACAUUAUAUUGAUGGGGGAGGGAAUAGUUAGGUAGACUUGGCUUAUCCAAAAGGUCAAAGGCUAGACACAGAGCAUUCCUAAGAGAAAAGGACCUGAAUCAUGGGUUUAGGGGAGGUGGAGAGGACUGCAUCAAUGUUUGUGAAAAUGUUGGUAGCCUGUGUUAGAAAAAAUCCACAUCUUCAGAAAGCUCUGACAAUAAACCUUUUAUAGGGAGAACUUUUCCUUUCAUCGUCAGUCUUGGCUCCUGUUCAAAUCCAUAGUGAAAUAUUUCAGUCUGCACUUGGUUAAGAGAGUACUUGAAUUUUUAGGCCUAAGAGAAAGUGCUUUAAGUGGGGGUUGGGAAAGAGACAGCUUCUGGGAUUCUAAAAGGGACUUUCAAAAUAAUUAAUAUUGAUGAUUUAAUGAAGACCAACAGAAAAACACUGUUGAAGCAACUGUUUUAAAACCCUUAUGAGAUGCAUAAAGGUUAAUGUAAAUGUGCUAGAAAAAUCUAUGGUCAAAAUGCUGAUUUUGACAUGUUCUGCCUGAAAUAUUACAACUUGUGCCUACUGAAUAGUCAGUUUUUCUUGCCCGAGGCAUUCUAAUUUUAAGGUAUUUGGGAUUUAAAC